RNAcentral lists this ribosomal RNA (253 nucleotides) under uncultured bacterium. RNAcentral describes it as "partial 16S ribosomal RNA". It matches the Rfam family "Bacterial small subunit ribosomal RNA", at positions 524 to 776 of the family's 1533-position model. The record is from RNAcentral.
UACAGAGGGUGCGAGCGUUGUCCGGAAUCACUGGGCGUAAAGGGCGCGUAGGUGGCGGGCCAAGUCCAUGGUGAAAGCUCGAUGCUCAACAUCGAGUCGGCCACGGAUACUGGUUCGCUGGAGCACUGUAGAGGCAGAUGGAAUUCCGGGUGUAGCGGUGGAAUGCGUAGAGAUCCGGAAGAACACCGGUGGCGAAGGCGGUCUGCUGGGCAGUUGCUGACACUGAGGCGCGACAGCGUGGGGAGCAAACAGG